RNAcentral lists this long non-coding RNA (631 nucleotides) under Arabidopsis lyrata. RNAcentral describes it as "long non-coding RNA (ALYR_LNC002344)". Lineage: Eukaryota; Viridiplantae; Streptophyta; Magnoliopsida; Brassicales; Brassicaceae. The record is from RNAcentral.
CGGAGGUGACGGCGGGGAUGAACAAGUAGUUGGGAAUGGUGGCGGGACAUGAAUCUUCGAUUUCCUGUAACAAAACAAAGAACACAAGGAAAGAACAUUAAAAUUCAACUUUGAACCCAUCAUCCACCACCGGAGAUACAACUCUUUCUUUGGCAAAUCUGCUUCAUCUUCUUCUUCUCCGUCUCCAUUUCUCUCCAAUAAAAAAAACCCCAAAUCUAACAACCCUAACCAUACUUCUCCGUCUCCGUCACCAUUUUCGCAUAAGAAACCCCCAAAUUGAAUCCUAACCCUAGAUCUGACCUUCCUGCUCGUAGUCCUAGCCAUGGUCCUGCGGCUCAUUCUCUUGUACAUUCCAAGUUUAAGAAGCCUUUUCUCGUUAUCAGACAGACACCUUCGCCUUUUCAAUCGGUGGAAUUAGGUACUGUAACGAGGUAGUGGGGAAGUAAGUUAGGGUUUAUUGGUCGUUGGGUAAGAGAUUGAAAAGAGGAGAGAGGGAGGCCAUUAAUCAAUUUUUUUUUUCUCAAAUCGAAAGGAGGAGAGGAGGAGAAGUUCUCGAUACAUUUGGGUGAAAGGAGGAAGAAACUUUUCUGCGAAAAGUUUUAGAUAAAAGGUGGAAAGGUGAAUUAUUUUG